This 144-nucleotide ribosomal RNA is filed under the name uncultured eukaryote. Its description in RNAcentral is "partial 18S ribosomal RNA". It matches the Rfam family "Eukaryotic small subunit ribosomal RNA", at positions 1299 to 1458 of the family's 1831-position model. The record is from RNAcentral.
UGGUGGAGCGCUUUGUCUGGUUAAUUCCGAUAACGAACGAGACUCUAGCCUGCUAAAUAGACGGGCGAUCCCUUGUGGGUCGAUCCGAUUUGCUUCUUAGAGGGACAAGUGGCGUUCCUAGCCACGCGAAAUUGAGCAAUAACA